AGUGAACGCUGGCGGCAGGCCUAAUACAUGCAAGUCGAACGGCAGCACAGCAGAGCUUGCUCUGUGGGUGGCGAGUGGCGGACGGGUGAGGAAUACGUGGGAAUCUGCCCAGUCGUGGGGGAUAACGUAGGGAAACUUACGCUAAUACCGCAUGCGCCCUUCGGGGAAAGCCGGGGACCUUCGGGCCUGGCGCGAUUGGAUGAGCCCACGUCGGAUUAGCUAGUUGGCGGGGUAAAGGCCCACCAAGGCGACGAUCCGUAGCUGGUCUGAGAGGAUGAUCAGCCACACUGGAACUGAGACACGGUCCAGACUCCUACGGGAGGCAGCAGUAGGGAAUAUUGGACAAUGGGCGCAAGCCUGAUCCAGCCAUGCCGCGUGAGUGAAGAAAGCCCUCGGGUUGUAAAGCUCUUUUGUCCGGAAAGAAAGCGCCGGGUUAAUACCCUGGUGUCCUGACGGUACCGGAAGAAUAAGCACCGGCUAACUUCGUGCCAGCAGCCGCGGUAAU
This 505-nucleotide ribosomal RNA is filed under the name uncultured bacterium. RNAcentral's name for it is "bacterial SSU rRNA". It matches the Rfam family "Bacterial small subunit ribosomal RNA", at positions 29 to 524 of the family's 1533-position model. The record is from RNAcentral.